UGUCUUUUUGAAAAUAAUAUAAAGUCUAAUCUGCCCACUGAUUUUAAUUGAAGGGCUGCAGUAUUUUGACUGUACAAAGGUAGCAUAAUCAUUAGUCAUUUAAUUGAUGACUUGUAUGAAGGAUUGGAUGAGAUAUAAACUGUCUCUUAUUUAUAGUAUAGAAUUUAAUUUUUUAUUUAAAAAGUUAAAAUAUAUUAAAAAGACGAGAAGACCCUAUAGAGUUUUAUGGUUAAAUUUAAUUAGGAUUAUUUAUAUUAUUAAAAUUAAAAUUAAUUUAAUUAUUAUAUUGGGGUGAUAGAAAAAUAUGAAAAACUUUUUAUAUAUAUAUAUAUUAAACCAUUAAUAAGUGAUUAAAUGAUCCAGUAUUAUUGAUUAUAAGAAAAAGUUACCUUAGGGAUAACAGCGUAAUUUUUUUUUUUAGUUCAUAUAAGAAAAAGAGUUUGCGACCUCGAUGUUGGAUUAAGAUAAAAUUUAAAUGUAGAAG
Molecule: ribosomal RNA, 484 nt
Filed under: Sesamia sp. SETAG7509
Lineage: Eukaryota; Metazoa; Arthropoda; Insecta; Lepidoptera; Noctuidae
Also listed under: 1 other name
Description: partial 16S large subunit ribosomal RNA
Source: RNAcentral